This 776-nucleotide ribosomal RNA is filed under the name uncultured fungus. RNAcentral's name for it is "partial 18S ribosomal RNA". The stretch from base 1 to 568 matches the Rfam family "Eukaryotic small subunit ribosomal RNA", at positions 508 to 1116 of the family's 1831-position model. Lineage: Eukaryota; Fungi. The record is from RNAcentral.
UCGUAAGUGCGAUUGAUUUAGCGGCCGCCGUUCGAUCUUGUGCAGCAGCCGCGUAAUUCCAGCUCCAAUAGCGUAUAUUAAAGUUGUUGCGGUUAAAAAGCUCGCAGUUGAACCUUGGGCCUGGCUGGCCGGUCCGCCUCACCGCGUGCACUGGUCCGGCCGGGCCUUUCCCUCUGUGGAACCCCAUACCCUUCACUGGGCGUGGCGGGGAAACAGGACAUUUACUUUGAAAAAAUUAGAGUGCUCCAGGCAGGCCUAUGCUCGAAUACAUUAGCAUGGAAUAAUAAAGUAGGACGCGCGGUUCUAUUUUGUUGGUUUAUAGUAUCGCCGUAAUGAUUAAUAGGGACAGCCCGGCGCGCAGUAUUCAACUGUCAGAGGAGAAAUUCAUGGAUCAGUUGAAGACUAACUACUGCGAGAGCAUUUGCCAAGGAUGUUUUUCUUUUAUCAGGAGCGAGAGUGAGGAGAACAAAAAAAAUCGGGUGGCGUGUGUAGACUAUAACACCAAACCAAGCCCGAGGGGGGGGGUGUUUUUUUUCUCUCUCCCCCCCCACGAAAAAAAGUGUCUCUGCGCGCGUGGGGAAAAAAAAAAAAAGAGAUAUUUUGAUGUCGGGGACGGCGCGCGCGCGCGCGCGCGUUUUUUUUGUGUUAUAUAAAACAACACCCCACCAACCACACCAGAAAAAGAAGAAGAGAGGCCGUCCUUUUUUUUUUUUUUGUGUGGAGGGCGCGCGCGCGCCCCGCUGGGGGGUGUGUGUGUGGUGUAUUCUCACUAAGAG